CCUACGGGUGGCAGCAGUCGAGAAUCAUUCACAAUGGGGGAAACCCUGAUGGUGCGACGCCGCGUGGGGGAAUGAAGGUCUUCGGAUUGUAAACCCCUGUCAUGUGGGAGCAAAUUAAAAAGAUAGUACCCCAAGAGGAAGCGACGGCUAACUCUGUGCCAGCAGCCGCGGUAAUACAGAGGUCUCAAGCGUUGUUCGGAAUCACUGGGCGUAAAGCGUGCGUAGGCUGUUUCGUAAGUCGUGUGUGAAAGGCGCGGGCUCAACCCGCGGACGGAACAGGAUACUGGGAGACUAGAGUAAUGGAGGGGGAACCGGAAAUCUCGGUGUAGGAGUGAAAUGCGUA
This 343-nucleotide ribosomal RNA is filed under the name uncultured bacterium. RNAcentral describes it as "partial 16S ribosomal RNA". It matches the Rfam family "Bacterial small subunit ribosomal RNA", at positions 338 to 692 of the family's 1533-position model. The record is from RNAcentral.